RNAcentral lists this long non-coding RNA (1103 nucleotides) under Oryctolagus cuniculus (rabbit). RNAcentral's name for it is "lncRNA (ENSOCUG00000039171.1)". Lineage: Eukaryota; Metazoa; Chordata; Mammalia; Lagomorpha; Leporidae. The record is from RNAcentral.
GUCCAUUUAAGUUUCACACAUGCUCCAGAUAAAUGGAGCAAAAGAAUAGAGAAGCCAACCUUACGAGCUGCAUGAUCUGGAGGGAGAGGGGAGUGUCACUAGGUUCCUAAAUCUGUAUAUAUGAAAAACAUGAAACUUCUAUAACUUCAAUAAAAUUUUAAAAAAUAAAGAAAGAAGAGCUCCAUGGCCUGGUGUUGUAUUUUCAGAGAAUAUGAUCUCUGUUUUUUUUUUUUCUUAUCUUAAAUGAUCAUGGAAUCUGAUUCGUCAUUAAUAAAGGUAAGUAUUGAUCUGGGUAAGCAGUGGAAUAACAGAAGAUGAGGAGGGCAUAAUAUCAGCUCUGUUGGAAAGCAAAACCUUUAGACAAGCUGAUUGCCUCUGACAACAAUAAUAGGUUUAAAAAAGAACAGUAAUAAACUACCUGGACAAGGCACAAAGUCGUUCCUCCAGGAAGAACAUAACCUCCUUUAAUUCUUUACCCUAUUCCCAGGAGAGCCAGACACACAGGAAUGUGCCAUAAAGAUACAGUCAAGCCUUAAGAAAGAAAUAGUCUGACUUGGACAAACCAGUCUAUAACAGUGACAUCCUUAAUGUGCUCAAUGGCUGAGGAGAGAACACAGACAUGAUGCUGAGAUGUGCUCAGCAAGUUGCACGACACCUCCAUUAAGAUAUUGGCUGCUUCCUGACCUUUGGGAGAGUUCUGAGAACAAAGUACAUGCCAUCACAAGACAACCACUCCCAGAGGUUCAGGACUUACGAGAGAUUUUUUCAUAGGAGGGGCAAGGUAUGAAACGGUGUGAUGGCUGAAACACCUGCUCAUGCCAUCUGGAAUUAUGAUCCUAAAUAGUUAUGUGGUCAUGUGACUCACUCAAGUGAGGAGAAAGUAUUAGCCAUUGUCCUUGCUUUUUCAAACUGGGAACCUGGUUUCACCCAAAUAUUCCACUUAGCAUCCUAACUGCCUUGAAAAUUUGAUCUAAAGCAGGUAUUAGCUUCUAAAUGACUGUUUUUUGAUGCAUAGCAAAAGAUAGGACAUUUAGGGUCAGAUUUCCAUAAUCUCUCAGAUCAUUAAAAAUAAUAAAAGUAGCCAGCUGUGUUUUAAAGGGACA